UACGUAGGGUGCAAGCGUUGUCCGGAAUUAUUGGGCGUAAAGGGCGCGUAGGCGGUGCGGUAAGUCACCUGUGAAACCUCUGGGCUUAACUCAGAGCCUGCAGGCGAAACUGCCGUGCUGGAGUAUGGGAGAGGUGCGUGGAAUUCCCGGUGUAGCGGUGAAAUGCGUAGAUAUCGGAAGGAACACCAAUGGCGAAGGCAGCCGCCUGGGCCUGAUCUGACACUGAGACACGAAAGCGUGGGGAUCAAACAGG
This 253-nucleotide ribosomal RNA is filed under the name uncultured bacterium. RNAcentral describes it as "partial 16S ribosomal RNA". It matches the Rfam family "Bacterial small subunit ribosomal RNA", at positions 524 to 776 of the family's 1533-position model. The record is from RNAcentral.